Megalobrama amblycephala (Wuchang bream) is the source of this 2035-nucleotide long non-coding RNA. RefSeq lists it as uncharacterized. Lineage: Eukaryota; Metazoa; Chordata; Actinopteri; Cypriniformes; Xenocyprididae. The record is from RefSeq and is a predicted model, not a curated record. The transcript has 6 exons.
UAUACAUUUAAAACAAAUCUCUAAAAAAGUUAAAAAAAAUGCCCCUAAACAUCAAAUGUUGCCCCUUAGUAAAAAGUCAAGUUUUAAUAUCACUAUCUGUGUCCCAUUUUGUCUCUCUGUCUUAUUGCAGAGCACAUGGUCUUGUUGAGGCAGGAUGAGUGUGUUAUCAGGACUAACAAGAGAGUGAAAGAGGGUAAUUGUGUACAAGUGACUACACACAGGUGUCUUCACCCUCCCAGUGUUGAGUUGGCACAGGCCCUCGCUGACAGCUGGGAACAGCAAAUUCAGGAGGAUAUCAAGAACUUGAGAGUGAUAAGACACCUAAACUUAAUGCCAAGUCUCAUUUUUGAGGUUUUGUAUUCCCUGAAGAUCAGCUUAAUACCUAAAGGGGUGCUGGUUCCUCCAACUUGUCCAUGUGGAAACACGAUUGGAACAACUUUUUCAGUAAAUCUGCAUCUGUGAGCUGAGGUGAUCAAACCCAACACAUAUGGCAGCCAUGCUGCGGUGAUGCUCGCAGUAUCAUUAGUCUGGCACUCCUACAGUGAAAUCUGCAGGUGGAAAAUUGCACUCUCUCUCUCUCCUAUGAUAAAGCUGUUGCCUGCACACUGGGAAAGUGAAAUCCAUCAUGCGACGGAAAGGGUUUAUUCCACCAUUCCGCCCCAUUGAGGCCCGUAACACGAACAUUGCCACCGCACUGUAAACCAGUUACCACAGGCUGUGUGAAGCGUACAUCAUGUUCUGUGUACAAGGAACUCAGUCUGUGCCAUGCAUCACUCAAGAACAUUCCCCUUAUUCCAGCGAAGUUCACACUACCCUCUGCCAACUGGCUAGCCAACCUCUCCACAUGUUCUCCAAAAGCUUCUUCACAACACCUGUGAUGAAAGAUGUGUCUCCCAGCUCCAAACAGAGAUGUUCUGACUGCGUAUCUGAUUUCACUAUUGCUGUGUUGACUGCAGAUGGGUGAGUAAUGUUUUGACAAGCAACCACAACACUGAUAUUUGUAGUUGCACAGAUGCAGUCUUGCAACGCUGCAAUUACUUUUUCGUUACGUCGUUUUUGUUAUUUGACAAACGGUGUUAGCAAAAAUGCUCAGCACAGCUUGUGGCAAUCAAAGAUUUUGAGAUUUUUCUUCAGACAUUUUGCACUACCAAUGGGACCAACUGGACACGAGCAACUUAAUUGACAAAACACACACACGGCUCACAUUCCCACAGAGAAGCAAAGUUGUGUGAUUCCUUCACAGUGUCCGUAUCAGCCAUUACGACAUACAAAGGACCUUCAUCCCUGCAGAUGGAAGUUUCUGUGUUUAAACAUUCACAGCCUAGCCUGAAAAGAGUCACAUAAUUCCAGCAAAUUGGACACAGUGAUUAGUGCAGGGAGAGAGAGAGAGAGAAAAAACAGAGCCCAUUCAUAACUUCAGCGGUCGGGAGAAACGCAAUUAUUCCCAGAGGGUUUGACAAAGGGUGAGAAUUUAUGCCGCAAAAGUAAUUUUAUGUUUGUUUUCUUUAUUUGCAAGACAUUUGCACAGAUCCAUCAAACUGUCGUGCCUUGUGCAUAAAUUCAGGAAAUGUCUUUCAGUUCAUUUGAAAAAAAAUAGCGAGAGAAAAACAUUGGCCGCGUAGUUUAUUUCUUUAUUUUUUCCUGUCUUGUAGAAAGUUGACACCCAUCCAGAGUGUUUUAGCUCAAGUAAAGACACUUCUUAACAUUUUCUAUUUAUUCCACUCAUUUUGUGUUCAUUUUAACUGUCCGAACUCCCAAUACUUUUUAAACACACUUGUUGUUCAUGCAGACAUACUGUAAACGGACGAGUAAUCUGUCACAUGCUGUUAUUCCUAGCAAAUAAUGUUGCAGUUAUUGUUUUCUUGUGCCAUUUUAAAUUGAGGGCCCUUCCCUUUCUAAAAGAUGGCUUUAUGACCAGGCUUGUUUUCCGAACUGUGUGUCGCAUUCCCAAGAAUCCUGGCAACUCUUUUGGAUGGAUGGGAAUCCUCGUGGAUAUAACAAAGGAUGAAUAGCAGUGUAGAAGGGUGUGAGAGUG